CGUGCAGCCGGGUCUGCAAGUCAGAUGUGAAAUCCAUGGGCUCAACCCAUGAACUGCAUUUGAAACUGUAGAUCUUGAGUGUCGGAGGGGCAAUCGGAAUUUCCAGUGUAGCGGUGAAAUGCGUAGAUAUUGGGAAGAACACCAGUGGCGAAGGCGGCUUUCUGGACUGUAACUGACGCUGAGGCUCGAAAGGCUAGGGUAGCGAACG
RNAcentral lists this ribosomal RNA (208 nucleotides) under uncultured bacterium. Its description in RNAcentral is "partial 16S ribosomal RNA". It matches the Rfam family "Bacterial small subunit ribosomal RNA", at positions 568 to 774 of the family's 1533-position model. The record is from RNAcentral.